Molecule: ribosomal RNA, 492 nt
Filed under: uncultured bacterium
Lineage: Bacteria
Description: partial 16S ribosomal RNA
Rfam family: Bacterial small subunit ribosomal RNA
Source: RNAcentral
AGUGAACGCUGGCGGUAGGCCUAACACAUGCAAGUCGAACGGCAGCACAGUAAGAGCUUGCUCUUACGGGUGGCGAGUGGCGGACGGGUGAGGAAUACAUCGGAAUCUACUUUUUCGUGGGGGAUAACGUAGGGAAACUUACGCUAAUACCGCAUACGACCUACGGGUGAAAGCAGGGGAUCUUCGGACCUUACGCGAUUGAAUGAGCCGAUGUCGGAUUAGCUAGUUGGCGGGGUAAAGGCCCACCAAGGCGACGAUCCGUAGCUGGUCUGAGAGGAUGAUCAGCCACACUGGAACUGAGACACGGUCCAGACUCCUACGGGAGGCAGCAGUGGGGAAUAUUGGACAAUGGGCGCAAGCCUGAUCCAGCCAUACCGCGUGGGUGAAGAAGGCCUUCGGGUUGCAAAGCCCUUUUGUUGGGAAAGAAAAGCAGCAGGUUAAUACCCCGCUGUUCUGACGGUACCCAAAGAAUAAGCACCGGCUAACUUCGUG